GUAGCCCACUUUCUAUUAUGAGUAUUAGCGACAGCAUUAGCGAUGGCUAAUGCAGUCACUAAAAGUUAAUUUUUUAUUUAAAUUAUGUUAAUUAAAUAUAAUUAGAUAUUAAAAAUUAAUUAAUUAAAUAUUAAUUUAAUUAAUUAGUUAGAUAAUUAAUUAAUUAGAAGCAUGAAAUUUGGGUCUCAGCAUGCACAGCAC
RNAcentral lists this long non-coding RNA (201 nucleotides) under Elaeis guineensis (African oil palm). RNAcentral's name for it is "long non-coding RNA (EGUI_LNC036759)". Lineage: Eukaryota; Viridiplantae; Streptophyta; Magnoliopsida; Arecales; Arecaceae. The record is from RNAcentral.